CCUACGGGAGGCAGCAGUAGGGAAUCUUGCACAAUGGGCGCAAGCCUGAUGCAGCAACGCCGCGUGGGUGAAGAAGGCUUUCGAGUUGUAAAGCCCUUUCAGCCGGAAAGAAGGGUAUCGGGGUGAAUAGCCUCGGUGCUUGACGGUACCGGCAGAAGAAGCACUGGCUAACUCCGUGCCAGCAGCCGCGGUAAUACGGAGAGUGCAAGCGUUGUUCGGAAUAACUGGGCGUAGAGUGCGAGUAGGCGGGUUUGCAAGUCGAUUGUGAAAUCCCAGAGCUUAACUUGGGAAUUGCAGUGGAAACUGCCGAUCUUGAAUGCCUGAGAGGAAAGCGGAAUUCCUGGUGUAGAAGUGAAAUUCGUAGAGAUCAGGAGGAACACUUGUGGCGAAGGCGGCUAUCUGGCAGUGCAUUGACGCUGAAUCGCGAAAGCGUGGGGAGCAAACAGGAUUAGAUACCCUGGUAGUCCACGCGGUAAACGAUGGAUACUAGCUGU
This 494-nucleotide ribosomal RNA is filed under the name uncultured delta proteobacterium. RNAcentral describes it as "bacterial SSU rRNA". It matches the Rfam family "Bacterial small subunit ribosomal RNA", at positions 338 to 823 of the family's 1533-position model. Lineage: Bacteria; Deltaproteobacteria. The record is from RNAcentral.